CUGGUUCCUUGCAGCUGUGACUCCCCAGGGUAAGAGGCAAAGAGCCACCAGGUCCCAGCUGAGGAAGCCCUGUGGUCAGCUCAGACAGGGAUGCGGACUGAAGCCGAAGCAGGUGUUAGUAAUUGUCGUACCUACAGACGAGGAAACCGAGCCUCCAUGAAGUGAAGUGACUCACCCACAGUCACACAGCUAAUAUAUGCCAGAGCCCACAGCAGAACCCAGACGUACUGAGGCCAAGUUCCAUGCCAGCAUAAAACAGGCUCCAGUUCUCCCUGGAUUCCAGGAACACCAUCUCCUUCCUCGUCCCUUCCAUCCCAGGGAAGGUUUACACUGAAAAUUUUUUGUGAUGAAAAGAUUUGAAGAAGAUGACAGGAGAUGGAGAAGCACCAGCUGAUCUGCAGACUCCAAGGAGGUCCCAGGAAGAGGAAUCUCAUCAAAUGACCAGGAAAGAAGCAAAGAGACGGAGUUGUCACUAUACCCAGAUAGACUACUCAUCUAUUCUCGAGGGCAGGUCUGACAACCUUUGUGCAAGGUGACGUUUCACUCCUCACCUUCCCAACACCUCCCCCAGAGCUCAGAGGAACUUUUGUCAUUUACUCCUACACACCUCAUCCCCGCCUUCCCUAAGAAGAGAGGGUAGACAGGCAUCUGGACCCUGCUGGGUUAUUAGGCCAUUACUCUUCUGCAAUUCCCCAUGGUAUGCACGUUAAAAUAAACGCAUGCCUUUUCUCCUGUUGCUCUGCCUUUUUCAGUUCAUUUUCAGCAAACCUUCAGAGGGUGAAAGGGGAAGUUUUCUUCUUUGUCCCUACAUUUUGCAUUGUCUUAUACCUUGACAUUUUUCUACUCGUCAAGUUAAACUGUAAAGCAAAAUAUAGAUCAUUAGCUGACUAAUUAUUUUUGAGUUAAAAAGUAGCUAGCAUUUGGUUUUGGGUACCACAGUGUGUCUAAUAUAGUCUUUUUAGAAGCAAUGAUCUAUAAACAUUUUUUAUCAUUCACCAUUUCUGGUUGAGUAAAGUGACUCACAGUUGUAGUCCUACCUAUUCAGGACGCUGAGGCAGGAGGAUCACUUCAGCCGAGGAAGGAGUUCAAGUCCAGCCUGGACGGUCUCUAAAAAUAUUAAAAUUUAAAAAAAAUUCUGAACAUGCAACCCCAAUAUGUAUUUAUUUGUAAAUGAUAUACUGUCACUAAUACAUUGACAUUAAACAAGUAGAAAACA
This 1216-nucleotide long non-coding RNA is filed under the name Homo sapiens (human). RNAcentral describes it as "HSALNT0360554". Lineage: Eukaryota; Metazoa; Chordata; Mammalia; Primates; Hominidae. The record is from RNAcentral.